RNA transcript from Brassica napus (rape), 1155 nucleotides. It is a transcript of the gene named GRF1-interacting factor 1-like, with no coding region annotated. The transcript has 5 exons. NCBI's taxonomy places the organism in Eukaryota, Viridiplantae, Streptophyta, Magnoliopsida, Brassicales, Brassicaceae. The record is from RefSeq and is a predicted model, not a curated record.
AUCUCUAUAAUAAGCAUGACUCGUCACGUGAGACCUCUUCUUCCCAGGGACAAAGAUAGGAUGAGACACAGAGAAACCAACAAAACCAAACCCCAAAACCCAAGAAAAAGAGAAAAAGACUCUUAUCUUUCUCUCACCUCUCCCUCUCUAUCUCUCUAUUUAAGAGACUUCACUGUCUCUCUCAGUCUUUUAACGCAGAACAACUUUUGUGGAGGAGAGAAAGCGAUAUAACACACACACAGAGAUAUACAUCUUCAAUAGUUAAGAGUUUUCUAUAUACAGAAGAAGUGUGUGUGAUAGAGAGACAUCAGAUACAAAAGGUUUUAUAUAAUAUAGCAAAAGAAAUGCAACAGCACCUGAUGCAGAUGCAGCCCAUGAUGGCUGGUUACUACCCCAGCAAUGUCACCUCUGAUCAUAUUCAGCAGUACUUGGACGAGAACAAAUCGUUGAUUCUGAAGAUAGUUGAAUCUCAAAACUCGGGAAAGCUCAGCGAGUGUGCCGAGAACCAGGCAAGGCUUCAACGCAACUUAAUGUACUUAGCUGCAAUUGCAGAUUCUCAGCCUCAACCUCCAAGCAUGCAUAGCCAGUAUGGAACUGCUGGUGGUGGUGGGUUGAUGCAGGGAGAAGGAGGGUCACACUAUUUGCAACAGCAACAGGCAAUUCAACAGCAGCAGAGUCAGCAGUCUCUAAUGGCGGCUCGAUCUUCAAUGUUGUAUGCUCAGCAGCAGCAACAGCCUUAUGCAACGCUUCAGCAGCAGCAAUUGCACCAUAGCCAGCUUGGGAUGAGCUCAAGCAGCGGAGGAGGAAGCAGCGGUCUCCAUAUGCUACAGGGAGAGGCUGGUGGGUUUCAUGAUUUUGGCCGUGGGAAGUUGGAAAUGGGAAGUGGUGAAGGCAGAGGAGGAAGCUCAGGGGAUGGUGGAGAAACCCUUUACUUGAAGUCAUCAGAUGAUGGGAACUGAAAGAGUAUGAUGAAGUAGCAGCAGCAGAAGUAGUAAAAGUAAGAGUCUGAAGUUUGUGUGCGUUGGUUAAGUUGCUUGGUGAAGAAGCAAAGAAGUCUUAUUUACCCUUUUGUGUUUUUAUUUUCUCUUAUGUUUGUGCCCUAAAAAAAGUGAACUCUUUCGUGGUAGUGUACCAUGUAAAUCUGCUCGCUCUAAA